Molecule: long non-coding RNA, 479 nt
Filed under: Ananas comosus (pineapple)
Lineage: Eukaryota; Viridiplantae; Streptophyta; Magnoliopsida; Poales; Bromeliaceae
Description: long non-coding RNA (ACOM_LNC032515)
Source: RNAcentral
UAUGCCAGAUCCGCUACAAAUAUAGGGAGUCCACUGUUCACACGGACAGAGUCUUUCCUGUAUUUGCACGGCGCCACACAAGUACAAGAUAUAUAAUGCAAGAUACAACCACCACAUAUGAAUAUCCACGCAUCCAUACACCAUUCACAUUCACAUUCCAUACAUAACAAUUAUCCAUGAUUCCACAUCUAUCAGUUUAAAAUAUUUCCUAUCCGAAAACUCGUUUUGAAAUACUAAUAACCAGGAAAACCAGAAAUUUCUUUUAAAAACUGUUUCCCACACGGAAAUCUUUUUUCUUUAAAACUUGCUACCAUGAGGAGUAGAAAAUCAUUCCAGUUUGCAAGAAUUACACAUCCUUUAUUACAUUUGUGAAAUCCCAAUUAUUCAAUUAUCAUGAAAUACUGAACCAUAAAUGCAUUCUAAGUCAUUAUUUACGAAAAGCAGGUCAAGAGUUUAAACCGAAUGAACGGGUCCGGAAG